AAUGAACGUUGGCGGCGUGGAUUAGGCAUGCAAGUCGAGCGAGAAUUUGCGAUUGGAAGCUUCGGCCGAAGAAAGUGAAGGAAAGCGGCAAACGGCGUAGUAAGGCGUAGGUACGUACCCUCGGGUUCGGGAAUAGCCAUGGGAAACUGUGGGUAAUGCCCGAUAAUCUCUGCGGAGCAAAGGUGUGAUUCCGCCGGAGGAGCGGCUUACGUGAUAUUAGCUAGUUGGUGGGGUAAUGGCCUACCAAGGCAACGAUGUCUAGGGGGUGUGAGAGCAUGGCCCCCACGACCGGAACUGAGACACUGUCCGGACACCUACGGGUGGCUGCAGUCGAGAAUCUUCCGCAAUGGGCGAAAGCCUGACGGAGCGACGCCGCGUGGUGGAUGAAGGCCCUUGGGUUGUAAACACCUGUCAGAGGGGAUGAAAUCAUGGUUGGCAAUCCUUCCAUGUUGACAGAGCCUCAGAGGAAGCACGGGCUAAGUACGUGCCAGCAGCCG
RNAcentral lists this ribosomal RNA (497 nucleotides) under uncultured bacterium. Its description in RNAcentral is "bacterial SSU rRNA". It matches the Rfam family "Bacterial small subunit ribosomal RNA", at positions 29 to 517 of the family's 1533-position model. The record is from RNAcentral.